This is a long non-coding RNA of Vicia villosa (hairy vetch), 688 nucleotides long. RefSeq lists it as uncharacterized. The record is from RefSeq and is a predicted model, not a curated record. Lineage: Eukaryota; Viridiplantae; Streptophyta; Magnoliopsida; Fabales; Fabaceae. The transcript is spliced from 2 exons.
AACUGAGGUGAAAGAAAUCCGUAAGGUGUUUUAUUAUGAACUCUGCAACAACAAUACAAAUUGGCAUUGGAAUUUGAAGCACACUUGAGCUGUUCUGAUCACAAUCACAGGAAGAUAGACAAUUUAUCUAACACUGACUUGGCUCUUUUGUUGACACGAUUCCAAAUUAACUUAGUUUUUCUUGCCCUAUCUAAUGUUUAAUCAUUGAUGUUAAAUAUGAAGCGUUUCAAGCAAAUGAAAGGAAUGCAUGGUAGCAGUAGUCAGGAUGAUAGGCAAAAGCGAGAGCAGCAACGUCAAGAGAAAGAAUUGGCCAAGUUUGCUAAAAUGUAUCCUUUUAUCAGGAUUUUCUGGCUUUGUGGAAAUGUUAUGGCAUGUCACGAACUCGCCUUAGCAAUAUGGAUGAUUCGCGCCCUGCUGAACUGAUGAAUUAGGGUUGCUGUUAGCUAUCGUUCAGUUAGCUUGAAAUGUUCGACUCGGUUUGGUCUUGAGCUGCAGGUUUGGAUUUGGGAUUGAAUUAUGUUCAUGUUUGAAUGUGAGUAUGGUAGAUGCAGGGCUGCAAUGGGUGUAUUUGAGUGUAGGAAUUGAUUUUCCUUUAACGAAUGGGUAAUGGUUUAUGGUAUGUUUGUAUGAGUUCUGAAACUGCAUGAAUUUGAUGAUAUGAACUGUACUGGUGAUGAAUUAACUUAAA